Long non-coding RNA from Orbicella faveolata, 1235 nucleotides. The record is from RefSeq and is a predicted model, not a curated record. NCBI's taxonomy places the organism in Eukaryota, Metazoa, Cnidaria, Anthozoa, Scleractinia, Merulinidae.
AUGUCGCGCUCGGAGGAAAAAAGUUAAGCGAGGUAGAUGGACAUUAUAAUGAUAGCAGAAAGCCAAAAGGAUUUGACACAAAACAGAUCUUUGUCUCACCAAGUGUCCGAUACUCUGGACACAACUGCUAUGCAAAACCCAAAAGUUUUCAAGACCCCUCAACAAACAAGACUUUCAGCUCAAAAGCAGUUCUGCAGCUUUGUAUCAACCCAGAGAGCUAUCAAGUUGGGCCUCAGACAAUCGGCGCUACAUCUGAGAUCGACCCGAAGUUUAGCAAUCAGGAAAUUGAAUGGUCCACUAAGGAACGUGGAUCCAUAAUUCUUUACGGGCUUCUAGUUAAACUUGAUGAAGCCAAUUGAACAUCUUUAUUGAAGGCAGUCCGUCAGGAUUAACAAAACGGCUGCCAAAUCAUGCCAUGUCAUUAGGACAGGUUGUGUUGUAAUAUUUAGGAUAUGUUGAGCUGUAAACAUCUGUGAAAUUCGUUUAAAACUGAAGCACAAAUGAAACACUGUUUAUGUAUGGACAGUAAAGUUAGUGGGUCCAUUAACCUUUUUCUAAGGUUCGAUUUAGACCUCUACGUAUGCGACUUUCAUCAUUGUACUCUGUCCGAGGUUACUGUUGCCUUAGCGGUUCAAAACAUGUUUCAAAGACUUAGGACACUUUUAGAGUGGUACACAACAAUGUGCAAGCCAGUUGCAUGCUUGAUUUAUGUAGCAAAAGAUUUCUUGUCGUAUUAACGUACGCCUUUGGCAUGCAACAAAGUUGUAGCGUAUCAAUCGACACUAAUAAUAGCGAAUGAUCCCGUGUUGCCAUCUCCUAAGAUGAAAACAUAUUUUUAUUUUACAAAGAAACGUUAGAAAAUCAAUUUCGUAAAAUGCAAAGCUAUGCAUGGGGUUAGAAAAAAUGGCUAAGUAAAUUCAUAGUUAAUUGUGAACUAUUUCUUUCCGACAAGCUAAGGAGAGUCACCGAACAAUGUAAGUUCGCACUGUUGAGUGACUAUUCUGCAGUGAAAUAUCAGUGCCGUGGGUAGAAGAUGUGCUAUUCAUAUUGUGUUGUCUGUAUCCGAGUUGUUUAGAUAUUAAACAUAUAGGGCUUUUCAACACUUGACACACUAAAAAGUGGUCAUAAUAUUAAAAUAUCCUCGGCAAGAACUAAACAAAUUUUGCCAAUAAGAAAUGGUUAGUGCUGUCUUGGGAGAUUUUUAGAUCACAGUCUUUUUAAUUGUUAUCAUAUUG